This 1517-nucleotide ribosomal RNA is filed under the name uncultured bacterium. Its description in RNAcentral is "16S ribosomal RNA". It matches the Rfam family "Bacterial small subunit ribosomal RNA". The record is from RNAcentral.
AACGAACGCUGGCGUGCAUGCUUAACACAUGCAAGUCGAGACGACGGGCUUCGGCCCAUAGAUGUGCGNGCGGGUGAGUAACGCGUGGGAACCGUGCCUUGGAGUGGGGCGAUAACCACUGGAAACAGUGUGGCUAAUACCAGCAUGUGCCCCUGCGGGGCAAAGGCUUCGGCCGCUUUGAGAGGGGCCCGCGUCCGACUUAGCUAGUUUGUGGGGUAACGGCCUACCAAGGCUGCGAUCGGUAUGCUGGUCUGAGAGGAUGAUCACGCCACACUGGGACUGCGACACGGCCCAGACUCCUACGGUGAGGCAGCAGUGGGGAAUAUUGGACAAUGGGGGAAACCCUGAUCCAGUCAAUGCCGCGUGCAUACGAAGCCUUCGUGGUUGUAAAGCGCUUUCGCCCGCGACAGAUAUACAGUAUCGGGAGAAGAAGCCCCGGCUAACUCCGUGCCAGCAGCCGCGGUAAUACGGAGGGGGCUAGUCGUUGUUCGGAAUUACUGGGCGUCAAUUGGUGAGUAGCGUAUCCAAUCAAGUAAGCCUGGGCUCAACCCGGAACUGCUUUUGAACUGGGUGGCUGGAGUCCGGGAGAGGUGAGCGGAAUUCCCAGUGUAAAGGUUAAUCGUAAAUAUUGGGAAAGAANCAACCGGUUGGCGAAAGGGCGGGCUCAUUGAACCCGGGUACUGACGCUGAAGGCACAGAAAAGCGUUGGGGAGCAAAAACAGGAUUAGAUACCCCUGUGUAGUCCACCCCGUUAAAACGAAUUGUGCGCUAGACGCAGGGGGUUUCAGCCUUUGUGUCGCAGCCAACGCGAUAAAGCGCACCGCCUUGGGGAGUACGGCCGCAAGGUUAAAACUCAAAGGAAUUGACGGGGGCCCGCACAACGGUGGAGCAUGUGGUUUUAUUUCGACGCAACGCGCAGAACCUUUACCAGCCCUUGAACAUGUCCGUCGCGGGCCCCUGAGAGGGGNUCNUUCGGUUUCGCCCGGGACGGAACACAGGUUGCUUGCAUGGCUUGUCGUCAGCUUCGUUUCGUGAGAUGUUGGGUUAAGUCCCCGCAACGAAGCGCAACCCNUAUCNUCCAGUUGCCAUUCGGNUUAUGCCCGGGCAAUUNUGGGGAAACCGCCGUUGACAAAGCCGGAGGAAGCGGGGAUGACNUCAAGUCUUCAUGGCCCUUAUGGGUUGGGCUACACAACGUUGCUACAAUGCCGNUGACAGUUGGGCAGCGAAGGGGCGAACNUGGAGCGAAUCCCCAAAAGCCCUUUUCAGUUCGGAUUGCCACUUCUUGCCAACUUCGGGUUGCCAUUGAAGUUCGGAAUUCGCUUAGUAAUCGCGGAUUCAGCACGCCGCCGGUGAAUACGUUCCCGGGCCUUGUACACACCGCCCGUCACACCAUGGGAGUUGGUUCUACCCGAAGCCGUGCGCCAACCGCAAGGAGGCAGCCGACCACGGUAGGGUCAGCGACUGGGGUGAAGUCGUACAAGUAGCCGUAGGGGAACCUGCGGCUGGAUCACCUCCUU